This 627-nucleotide long non-coding RNA is filed under the name Anas platyrhynchos platyrhynchos (common mallard). RNAcentral's name for it is "lncRNA (ENSAPLG00000021876.1)". The record is from RNAcentral. Lineage: Eukaryota; Metazoa; Chordata; Aves; Anseriformes; Anatidae.
CCUCCCUUCUCUGCCAGGCAGGGAUUUCUUCUCCCUGGUUUUCAUGUAGAUAGUGUGAGAAGGAACUGGACUAACACCACUCUUGCAGUGGGAGUCCAAGACCCAACGUAUCCUUGUCAUAUGCCAAGGAAAUCCACCGGUCAGGAUAUGCUGUAGGCUAGAUGAAAUUUGCUGAGUGGAGGUUGAAAUUGCAUUUUAAUGCCUGGGGUGAGAAAAGCACAGAGAGUAGCAGUGUUUCUGCUUGAGAAGAACAUUUCCAGGUCUUAGCUUGGUGCCUGCUCCAGCCUUGCCAGCAACAGCAAUGCUGCUGGUCCUGGGGACUGACCCUGCUCCCAGCCCAGCAUCCUCCAGAUGUGGACAGAGAUCCUGAACUUCACCAUCUCAUGGCCAAAGAAAAAACUCUCCAGCUCCCUCAAGAGAAGAACCCCUUGCUCACAGGCUGUCCAUCCACCGAGUCUGAAACUUUGUCCUAGUUCAGGAAGGUGGAGACCAAACCAAACAGCUUUUGUCUCAAGCUGAGCCUCCAUGCAUCCUGCCUAGGCACUGGGGGGGUGGCUGGACCGGUGAUCCCACUCUCACCCCAGCCCUAAGCCCGGGUGAAGGUCGCAAAUCAGUGUUUGAGGUGGG